RNAcentral lists this ribosomal RNA (436 nucleotides) under uncultured bacterium. RNAcentral describes it as "bacterial SSU rRNA". It matches the Rfam family "Bacterial small subunit ribosomal RNA", at positions 958 to 1398 of the family's 1533-position model. The record is from RNAcentral.
AACGCGAAGAACCUUACCAAGGCUUGACAUGCACUGAAACUCACAGAGAUGUGGGGUCCUUCGGGCGGUGUACAGGUGGUGCAUGGUUGUCGUCAGCUCGUGUCGUGAGAUGUUGGGUUAAGUCCCGCAACGAGCGCAACCCUCGUUCCAUGUUGCCAGCACUUCGGGUGGGGACUCAUGGGAGACUGCCGGGGUCAACUCGGAGGAAGGUGGGGAUGACGUCAAAUCAUCAUGCCCCUUAUGUCUUGGGCUGCACGCAUGCUACAAUGGCCGGUACAAAGGGCUGCGAUACCGUAAGGUUGAGCGAAUCCCAUAAAGCCGGUCUCAGUUCGGAUCGGGGUCUGCAACUCGACCCCGUGAAGUCGGAGUCGCUAGUAAUCGCAGAUCAGCAACGCUGCGGUGAAUACGUUCCCGGGCCUUGUACACACCGGAGUGC